CAGCCGCCGCGGUAAUACGUAGGUGGCAAGCGUUGUCCGGAGUUAUUGGGCGUAAAGGGCUCGCAGGCGGUUUCUUAAGUCUGAUGUGAAAGCCCCCGGCUCAACCGGGGAGGGUCAUUGGAAACUGGGAAACUUGAGUGCAGAAGAGGAGAGUGGAAUUCCACGUGUAGCGGUGAAAUGCGUAGAGAUGUGGAGGAACACCAGUGGCGAAGGCGACUCUCUGGUCUGUAACUGACGCUGAGGAGCGAAAGCGUGGGGAGCGAACAGGAUUAGAGACCCCUGUAGUCCCUGUCUCUUAUAC
RNAcentral lists this ribosomal RNA (301 nucleotides) under uncultured bacterium. RNAcentral describes it as "partial 16S ribosomal RNA". It matches the Rfam family "Bacterial small subunit ribosomal RNA", at positions 509 to 807 of the family's 1533-position model. The record is from RNAcentral.